Molecule: ribosomal RNA, 446 nt
Filed under: uncultured bacterium
Lineage: Bacteria
Description: partial 16S ribosomal RNA
Rfam family: Bacterial small subunit ribosomal RNA
Source: RNAcentral
CCUACGGGAGGCAGCAGUCGAGAAUCAUUCACAAUGGGGGAAACCCUGAUGGUGCGACGCCGCGUGGGGGAAUGAAGGUCUUCGGAUUGUAAACCCCUGUCAUGUGGGAGCAAAUUAAAAAGAUAGUACCACAAGAGGAAGAGACGGCUAACUCUGUGCCAGCAGCCGCGGUAAUACAGAGGUCUCAAGCGUUGUUCGGAAUCACUGGGCGUAAAGCGUGCGUAGGCUGUUUCGUAAGUCGUGUGUGAAAGGCGCGGGCUCAACCCGCGGACGGCACAUGAUACUGCGAGACUAGAGUAAGGGAGGGGGAACCGGAAUUCUCGGUGUAGCAGUGAAAUGCGUAGAUAUCGAGAGGAACACUCGAGGCGAAGGCGGGUUCCUGGACAUUAACUGACGCUGAGGCACGAAGGCCAGGGGAGCGAAAGGGAUUAGAUACCCUUGUAGUC